GCCAACCACUUAGUUACACGUGGAUAAGCCACCAACAAGAAUCGAAUUGUGAUCGCCCUCGUCCACUGCUCUAAUUCCAACAUCUCCUUGGAACUUAGCUCUGAGAUUCACAGGCAAGGGAUGAUGAUAGAGGCCAUGACCGCCUCAUAUUCACCUCUUCUAGUUCAAUCAAUGGCUAGCCCAAAGCCAGUACCGGCAGCUACCAGGACUGUUAGUUCUAAAAAGGCUACACCAUUCUUCCCCUUGGGAAGCCAGGACCUCGAACCACCGUAUCAGGAACUGCACCAUCUGUAAAACUAUUAACAAGGGUGGAGCAGCUGCGCUUGCUAACCAAAGCAGAGAAAGCAGGCCUACUGUCGGCAGCAGAAAAAUUUGGUCUGUCCCUGUCAACAAUAGAGAGACUAGGACUUCUUUCAAAAGCAGAAGAACUUGGAGUGCUUUCAGCAGCGACUGAUCCUGGAACUCCAUCUGUCCUUUUCACCAUCAGCUUCUUGCUGCUGCUUUUGGGUCCUUCCUGUGUCUACUUGGUCCUGGGAUUAUCCUUGGGAGAUAGCGUUGCAGAUUGUAGUAGCUUUGCUUUCUGUCAUUGGCGGAUCAGCUGCUUUUGCAGCGUCAAAUCUUGUAUCUAAUUUGCAGAAAUCAAAUUGAGUUGCAGAAUUUUGCCAAAUAUGGUAUUUAUAUUUUUCCUUUUCUUCCCUUGGAACUGGGAAAACUUGGCAGGAUCAAAGCCACAAAGAAUCUAUAGUGUUACCAGCGUUGUGCAUUCAA
Non-coding RNA from Coffea arabica (coffee), 768 nucleotides. The record is from RefSeq and is a predicted model, not a curated record. NCBI's taxonomy places the organism in Eukaryota, Viridiplantae, Streptophyta, Magnoliopsida, Gentianales, Rubiaceae.